This is a non-coding RNA of Caenorhabditis elegans, 70 nucleotides long. The record is from Ensembl. NCBI's taxonomy places the organism in Eukaryota, Metazoa, Nematoda, Chromadorea, Rhabditida, Rhabditidae.
GUCCCGGUUGUCCCGGUGGGCCAGGUGGACAAAUUGGUUUGGUUGGCUCACAUUGACACCAUUCUGGAAG